CCUACGGGAGGCAGCAGUAGGGAAUCUUUCACAAUGGGCGAAAGCCUGAUGGAGCAACGCCGCGUGCAGGAUGAAGGCCUUCGGGUUGUAAACUGCUUUUAUAAGCGAGAAAUAUGAUGGUACCUUAUGAAUAAGGUUCGGCUAACUACGUGCCAGCAGCCGCGGUCAUACGUAGGAUCCGAGCAUUAUCCGGAGUGACUGGGUGUAAAGAGUUGCGUAGGUGGCAUAAUAAGUAGCUAGUGAAAUCUGGUGGCUCAACCAUUCAGACUAUUAGCUAAACUGUUAAGCUCGAGACCGUUAGGGGUAACUGGAAUUUCUAGUGUAGGAGUGAAAUCCGUAGAUAUUAGAAGGAACACCAAUAGCGUAGGCAGGUUGCUGGGACGGUUCUGACACUAAGGCACGAAAGCGUAGGGAGCAAACGGGAUUAGAUACCCCUGUAGUC
Molecule: ribosomal RNA, 442 nt
Filed under: uncultured bacterium
Lineage: Bacteria
Description: partial 16S ribosomal RNA
Rfam family: Bacterial small subunit ribosomal RNA
Source: RNAcentral